UUUUUACUCCCUCCGUUCCGAAUUACUUAUCGCAGGUAUGAAUGUAUCUAGAUAUAUUUUAGUUCUAGAUAUAUCAAUUUCUGUGACAAGUAAUUCGGAACGGAGGGAGUAUAAG
Molecule: non-coding RNA, 115 nt
Organism: Triticum aestivum (bread wheat)
Lineage: Eukaryota; Viridiplantae; Streptophyta; Magnoliopsida; Poales; Poaceae
Source: Rfam